This 525-nucleotide ribosomal RNA is filed under the name uncultured Gymnodiniales. RNAcentral's name for it is "SSU rRNA". It matches the Rfam family "Eukaryotic small subunit ribosomal RNA", at positions 21 to 549 of the family's 1831-position model. Lineage: Eukaryota; Dinophyceae; Gymnodiniales. The record is from RNAcentral.
UAGUCAUAUGCUUGUCUCAAAGAUUAAGCCAUGCAAGUCUCAGUGUCAGCGUUUCCAUGGCAAAACUGCGAAUGGCUCAUUAAAACAGUUACAGUCUACGCAGUGAUUCACCUUACAUGGAUAACCGUGGAAAAUCUAGGGCUAAUACAUGCUUCAAACCUGACUUCGCAGAAAGGUUGCUGUCGUUAGACACAGAACCGACACAGGCUCUGCCUGGCGCCAAGGUGAAUCAUAACGGUCUGGCAAAUCGCAAGGCUUCUGCCGGCGAUGGACUGCUCAAGUUUCUGACCUAUCAGCUUCCGACGCUAGGGUAUUGGCCUACCGUGGCAAUGACGGGUGACGGAGAAUUAGGGUUUGAUUCCGGAGAGGGAGCCUGAUAAAUGGCUACCACAUCUAAGGAAGGCAGCAGGCGCGCAAAUUACCCAAUUCUGACACAGGGAGGUAGUGACAAGAAAUAACAAUAUGGGGCAUCCAUGUCUUGUAAUUGGAAUGAACCAGUUCUAAACCAAUUUGUGAGUAUCGAUU